AUGAAACGCAUAGUUUGGGAGAAAAUCGGAAUCCAACACCACGAUCUUUCUGAGUUGGACUCCACUUUCGACGAGGAUGAAAUUAAGGAGGCAGUUUUCUCCUUACCUUCGGUCAAAGCAGCCGGCCCAGACGGUUUUAUCGGUGCCUUCUUCAAGUCCUACUGGGAGAUCAUCACGACCGACGUCGUGAAUGCAAUUAUGCAAUUGGCUAACCUCCGCGGCGAUUGCGCGGACCUCACAAAUUCGGCAAACAUUAUCCUGCUACCUAAAAAGGCAAACGCCGCCUGGAUUGGGGACUACCGUCCAAUCAGCCUGAUUCAUAGCAUAUCCAAGAUCUUCUCCAAGCUGUUGGCAAACCGUCUAGCUCCGAUGCUCCCUGCGUUGGUCUCCCAUUGUCAGAGCGCCUUCGUGAAGAAGCGGUGCAUCCAUGAUAACUUCUUGCAUGUUCAAAACUUGGUGAAGGAGCUGCAUCGCACUCAAACGCCCGACCUCUUCCUCAAACUGGACAUCUCAAAGGCUUUUGACUCCGUGGGCUGGGCCUACCUGCUGGAGGUGCUUCAGCAACUUGGGUUCAGUCAGCGCUGGCGGGACUGGAUUUGCAUGACCCUCGCAACAUCUUCCUCCAGGAUCCUGUUGAAUGGGAACCCCGGCACCCCUUUCACUCAUGCAUGCGGCCUGCGUCAGGGUGACCCCAUAUCUCCGAUGCUGUUCAUCUAG
RNAcentral lists this ribosomal RNA (717 nucleotides) under Triticum aestivum (bread wheat). RNAcentral's name for it is "partial small subunit ribosomal RNA". Lineage: Eukaryota; Viridiplantae; Streptophyta; Magnoliopsida; Poales; Poaceae. The record is from RNAcentral.